Molecule: ribosomal RNA, 423 nt
Filed under: uncultured Clostridium sp.
Lineage: Bacteria; Bacillati; Bacillota; Clostridia; Eubacteriales; Clostridiaceae
Description: bacterial SSU rRNA
Rfam family: Bacterial small subunit ribosomal RNA
Source: RNAcentral
GACGAACGCUGGCGGCGUGCCUAACACAUGCAAGUCGAGCGAGUGAAUCUCCUUCGGGAGUGAAGCUAGCGGCGGACGGGUGAGUAACACGUGGGCAACCUGCCUCAUAGAGGGGAAUAGCCUUCCGAAAGGAAGAUUAAUACCGCAUAAGAUUGUAGCUUCGCAUGAAGUAGCAAUUAAAGGAGCAAUCCGCUAUGAGAUGGGCCCGCGGCGCAUUAGCUAGUUGGUGAGGUAACGGCUCACCAAGGCGACGAUGCGUAGCCGACCUGAGAGGGUGAUCGGCCACAUUGGGACUGAGACACGGCCCAGACUCCUACGGGAGGCAGCAGUGGGGAAUAUUGCACAAUGGGGGAAACCCUGAUGCAGCAACGCCGCGUGAGUGAUGACGGCCUUCGGGUUGUAAAGCUCUGUCUUCAGGGACGA